GAUGAACGCUGGCGGCGUGCCUAAUACAUGCAAGUCGAGCGAACAGACGAGGAGCUUGCUCCUCUGACGUUAGCGGCGGACGUGUGAGUAACACGUGGAUAACCUACCUAUAAGACUGGGAUAACUUCGGGAAACCGGAGCUAAUACCGGAUAAUAUAUUGAACCUCAUGGUUCAAUAGUGAAAGACGGUUUUGCUGUCACUUAUAGAUGGAUCCUCGCCGCAUUAGCUAGUUGGUAAGGUAACGGCUUACCAAGGCGACGAUGCGUAGCCGACCUGAGAGGGUGAUCGGCAACACUGGAACGGAGACACGGUCAAGACUCCUACGGGAGGCAGCAGUAGGGAAUCUUCCGAAAUGGGCGAAAGCCUGACGGAGCAACGCCGCGUGAGUGAUGAAGGUCUUCGGAUCGUAAAACUCUGUUAUUAGGGAAGAACAAAUGUGGAAGUAACUAUGCACGUCUUGACGGUACCUAAUCAGAAAGCCACGGCUAACUACGUG
Molecule: ribosomal RNA, 497 nt
Filed under: uncultured bacterium
Lineage: Bacteria
Description: partial 16S ribosomal RNA
Rfam family: Bacterial small subunit ribosomal RNA
Source: RNAcentral